This 253-nucleotide ribosomal RNA is filed under the name uncultured bacterium. Its description in RNAcentral is "partial 16S ribosomal RNA". It matches the Rfam family "Bacterial small subunit ribosomal RNA", at positions 524 to 776 of the family's 1533-position model. The record is from RNAcentral.
UACAGAGGAGCCAAGCGUUGUCCGGAUUGACUGGGCGUAGAGCGCACGCAGGCGGACGCGCGCGUGGGGUGUGAAAUCUGGCCGCUUAACGGCCAGGCGCCAUCCCAUACGGCGCGUCUGGAGUGAUGCAGAGGUCGAUGGAAUUGCCGGUGUAGUGGUGAAAUGCGUAGAGAUCGGCAGGAACACCCAGGGGGAAACCAGUCGACUGGGCAUCUACUGACGCUGAGGUGCGAGAGCGUGGGGAGCGAACCGG